CCUACGGGUGGCAGCAGUGAGGAAUAUUGGUCAAUGGACGAGAGUCUGAACCAGCCAAGUAGCGUGAAGGAUGACUGCCCUAUGGGUUGUAAACUUCUUUUAUAAAGGAAUAAAACGCGGCACGUGUGCCUUUUUGCAUGUACUUUAUGAAUAAGGAUCGGCUAACUCCGUGCCAGCAGCCGCGGUAAUACGGAGGAUCCGAGCGUUAUCCGGAUUUAUUGGGUUUAAAGGGAGCGUAGAUGGGUUGUUAAGUCAGUUGUUAAAGUUUGCGGCUCAACCGUAAAAUUGCAAUUGAUACUGGCAGUCUUGAGUACAGUUGAGGUAGGCGGAAUUCGUGGUGUAGCGGUGGAAUGCUUAGAUAUCACGAAGAACCCCGAUUGCGAAGGCAGCUUACUAAACUGUGACUGACAUUGAUGCUCGAAAGUGUGGGUAUCAAACAGGAUUAGAUACCCUUGUAGUC
RNAcentral lists this ribosomal RNA (460 nucleotides) under uncultured bacterium. RNAcentral describes it as "partial 16S ribosomal RNA". It matches the Rfam family "Bacterial small subunit ribosomal RNA", at positions 338 to 795 of the family's 1533-position model. The record is from RNAcentral.